CCUACGGGAGGCAGCAGUGGGGAAUAUUGGACAAUGGGGGGAACCCUGAUCCAGCGACGCCGCGUGAGUGAAGAAGUAUUUCGGUAUGUAAAGCUCUAUCAGCAGGGAAGAAAGAAAUGACGGUACCUGACUAAGAAGCCCCGGCUAACUACGUGCCAGCAGCCGCGGGAAUACGUAGGGGGCAAGCGUUAUCCGGAUUUACUGGGAGUAAAGGGAGCGUAGACGGCGAUGCAAGUCUGAAGUGAAAGGCGGGGGCCCAACCCCCGGACUGCUUUGGAAACUGUAUGGCUGGAGUGCAGGAGAGGUGAGUGGAAUUCCUGGUGUAGCGGUGAAAUGCGUAGAUAUUAGGAGGAACACCAGUGGCGAAGGCGGCUUACUGGACUGUAACUGACGUUGAGGUUCGAAAGCGUGGGGAGCAAACAGGAUUAGAUACCCUUGUAGUC
This 443-nucleotide ribosomal RNA is filed under the name uncultured bacterium. Its description in RNAcentral is "partial 16S ribosomal RNA". It matches the Rfam family "Bacterial small subunit ribosomal RNA", at positions 338 to 795 of the family's 1533-position model. The record is from RNAcentral.